This 253-nucleotide ribosomal RNA is filed under the name uncultured bacterium. RNAcentral describes it as "partial 16S ribosomal RNA". It matches the Rfam family "Bacterial small subunit ribosomal RNA", at positions 524 to 776 of the family's 1533-position model. The record is from RNAcentral.
GACGGAGGAUGCAAGCGUUAUCCGGAAUGAUUGGGCGUAAAGCGUCCGCAGGUGGCAGUUCAAGUCUGCUGUCAAAGACCGGGGCUUAACUUCGGAAAGGCAGUGGAAACUGAACAGCUAGAGUAUGGUAGGGGCAGAGGGAAUUCCUGGUGUAGCGGUGAAAUGCGUAGAGAUCAGGAAGAACAUCGGUGGCGAAGGCGCUCUGCUGGACCAUAACUGACACUCAGGGACGAGAGCUAGGGGAGCGAAUGGG